GAAACUGCCCAGACACCUACGGGUGGCUGCAGUCGAGAAUCUUCGUCAAUGGGCGAAAGCCUGAACGAGCGACGCCGCGUGUGGGAUGAAGGCCCUUGGGUUGUAAACCACUGUCGAGGGGGAUGAAGGCAUUCAGGUCCUCCUGAAUGUUUGACAGAGCCCUGGAGGAAGCGCGGGCUAAGUUCGUGCCAGCAGCCGCGGUAAUACGAACUGUGCGAACGUUA
RNAcentral lists this ribosomal RNA (224 nucleotides) under uncultured bacterium. Its description in RNAcentral is "partial 16S ribosomal RNA". It matches the Rfam family "Bacterial small subunit ribosomal RNA", at positions 323 to 543 of the family's 1533-position model. The record is from RNAcentral.